RNAcentral lists this ribosomal RNA (898 nucleotides) under uncultured prokaryote. Its description in RNAcentral is "bacterial SSU rRNA". It matches the Rfam family "Archaeal small subunit ribosomal RNA", at positions 455 to 1354 of the family's 1478-position model. The record is from RNAcentral.
GUGCCAGCAGCCGCGGUAAUACCAGCUCCCCGACUGGUCGGGAUGAUUAUUGGGCCUAAAGCGUCCGUAGCCGGUUCUUUGUGUGAUUCGUUAAAUCCAGCGGCUCAACCGCUGGACUGCGAAUCAUACUAAAGGGCUAGGGGGCGGGAGAGGCCAAGGGUACUCCGCGGGUAGGGGUAAAAUCCGCUGAUCCGCGGAAGACCACAGUGGCGAAGGCGUUUGGCCAGAACGCGCCCGACGGUGAGGGACGAAAGCUAGGGGAGCGAACCGGAUUAGAUACCCGGGUAGUCCUAGCCGUAAACGAUGCUCGCUAGGUCUUGGAAGAACUUCGUGUUCUGUCAGGGCCGCAGGGAAGCCGUUAAGCGAGCCGCCUGGGGAGUACGGCUGCAAGGCUGAAACUUAAAGGAAUUGCGGGGGAGCACCACAAGGGGUGAAGCCUGCGGUUUAAUUGGAGUCAACGCCGGGAACCUUACCAGGGGUGACGGCAGAGUGAUGGUCAGGCUAAAGACCUUACCUGACGAGCCGAGAGGAGGUGCAUGGCCGUCGCCAGCUCGUGCUGUGAAGUGUCCUGUUAAGUCAGGCAACGAGCGAGACCCCUGCUGUUAGUUGCUUCUUGUUUCCGAAAGGUGAUGGGAGGAAACUAACAGGACCGCCGCCGAUAAGGCGGAGGAAGGUGGGGGCUACGGCAGGUCAGUAUGCCCCGAAACCCCUGGGCCACACGCGGGCUGCAAUGGUGGAGACAAUGGGAGCCGAACUCGAAAGAGGGAGGUAAUCUCUAAACUCCACCGUAGUAGGGAUUGAGGGCUGAAACCCGCCCUCAUGAACCUGGAAUCCCUAGUAAUCGCGGGUCACCAUCCCGCGGUGAAUACGUCCCCGCUCCUUGCACACACCGCCCGUC